CUUUUGGAACAGCACUUCUCUCAGCAGGCCAUCCAUUCAUGAUGACGUUUCUCAGCAUUAUCAUUUCAGGAUCCUCUGCUGUGGCUUUCCUGAACUCUUGAAGUUUCUUGUCUGAGAUAGGCAAUUGAGGUGUUAUCCAGUUUAUCUCCAGUUCCUCUUCAAGCAGUUCUUCUGUAUGUUCUUUGAGCUUUCUCAGUGGUGCACUUCCUUCUGACAAAUUGGGAAUGAACAUGGCUAGAUACUGCAGCAUACCCAGAAAUCUCUGUAGAGCCCGUUUGUCUUCUGGUGGCGGUAGCUGGAUUACAGCUCUCACCUUCUCAUCAUCUGGUUUGAGUCCAUCAGCUGUGAGUACGUGACCAAUGUACUUGAUCGUUGACGUUCUAAUUUGGCAUUUCUUUCUGUUAAAUUUAAGAUUAUACUCUCUUGUUCUUUGCAGGAGUUUUCUUAGUCUGCGAUCAUGUUCUUGUACAGUUUCUCCCCAUACUAACAGAUCAUCUACUAUGUUGAUUACACCAUCCAGAUCUUCAAUCAUCUGUGCUAUCGCUCUUUGAAAUACCUCUGAUGCCGAUGAUAUUCCAAAAGGCAAUUGGAACUUUUCGUGGUGCAUGAACAACUGGUUUGACUGUUGGAUCUACUUGUAUCCUGGCAUACAUCCUAAACCAC
Scleropages formosus (Asian bonytongue) is the source of this 663-nucleotide long non-coding RNA. RefSeq lists it as uncharacterized. Lineage: Eukaryota; Metazoa; Chordata; Actinopteri; Osteoglossiformes; Osteoglossidae. The record is from RefSeq and is a predicted model, not a curated record. The transcript is spliced from 3 exons.